RNAcentral lists this ribosomal RNA (393 nucleotides) under uncultured bacterium. RNAcentral describes it as "bacterial SSU rRNA". It matches the Rfam family "Bacterial small subunit ribosomal RNA", at positions 28 to 419 of the family's 1533-position model. The record is from RNAcentral.
GACGAACGCUGGCGGCGUGCUUAACACAUGCAAGUCGAGCGGUAAGGCCCUUUCGGGGGUACGACGAGCGGCGAACGGGUGAGUAACACGUGGGUGACCUGCCCUCAGCUCUGGGAUAAGCCUGGGAAACCGGGUCUAAUACUGGAUAUGACUCCAUGACGCAUGUUGUGGGGUGGAAAGCCUUGUGCGGCUGAGGAUGGGCCCGCGGCCUAUCAGGCUUGUUGGUGGGGUGANGGCCCUACCAAGGCGACGACGGGUAGCCGGCCUGAGAGGGCGACCGGCCACACUGGGACUGAGACACGGCCCAGACUCCUACGGGAGGCAGCAGUGGGGAAUCUUGCGCAAUGGGCGAAAGCCUGACGCAGCGACGCCGCGUGAGGGAUGACGGCCUGG